CAGAAUUCCGCGAAUCAUCGAGUCUUUGAACGCAAGUUGCGCCCGAGGCUUGCCCUCGGGCAUUUCUGUCAGAGCGUCACC
RNAcentral lists this ribosomal RNA (81 nucleotides) under Schistidium apocarpum. RNAcentral's name for it is "partial 5.8S ribosomal RNA". It matches the Rfam family "5.8S ribosomal RNA", at positions 75 to 154 of the family's 154-position model. Rfam says of the family: 5.8S ribosomal RNA (5.8S rRNA) is a component of the large subunit of the eukaryotic ribosome. Lineage: Eukaryota; Viridiplantae; Streptophyta; Bryopsida; Grimmiales; Grimmiaceae. The record is from RNAcentral.